Molecule: long non-coding RNA, 666 nt
Filed under: Oryza brachyantha (malo sina)
Lineage: Eukaryota; Viridiplantae; Streptophyta; Magnoliopsida; Poales; Poaceae
Description: long non-coding RNA (OBRA_LNC003391)
Source: RNAcentral
UAGACUGGGGGUGGAAGGAUGGAGAGCAGAUGCGUCUGAGCUAGAUUAAAUGUGGAAGAUGUAAUCCAUUGGAUUCACGAGGUGAGGACUGUAGGAUGAGGGCUCAUGUUGGUGCAUUGUAGGGUAGAAAAUGUCAAACAUUUGUUUAAAAUGACCCGUGACAAAAUAAAUAUUAAAAUGUUGUUGAACUUUGAAAAUAACAUCUUGGUGGGUGGGCUCGCAGCUGUCAACUUUUUAACGGAGAGUACCGAUAUUGGUGGUUGAUUUAAGAAAGAAGUUGAUGAAAGAACACCAAAAACUUUUUGAUGAGAUUUUUGUGUACACAGUUUUGGUGUAUCUGGGUGCAGUGAAAUGACACGAUGAAACUGGUGGAGCACGUCAUCGGCAUUGUUAUUUGAUUUUGCAAGGAUGGAAGAAGCUUUAGGCCGUCAACAUCUUUUCUCUUAUACUUAUAUUUAUAAGUCAAAUUUUAAAUUUUAAAACUUAAAUUUAGAGUUGAUUUUAGAGUUUCUUCUUCAUAGUUUGUUUUUCAACGUUUGCUUUAGAUUGCUAAGAACAUAUAUAUAGAAAAUUAAUUAUGAAUUAUUUUUAAUUAUUAGUAAUUUGUUUUGAUUAUGCUUAAUAUAAGGGCAAGGAACAUCUCUCCUUAAAAUGGAAAACGAAAUG